GACGAACGCUGGCGGCGUGCUUAACACAUGCAAGUCGAACGGAAAGGCCCUGCUUUUGUGGGGUGCUCGAGUGGCGAACGGGUGAGUAACACGUGAGUAACCUGCCCUUGACUUUGGGAUAACUUCAGGAAACUGGGGCUAAUACCGGAUAGGAGCUCCUGCUGCAUGGUGGGGGUUGGAAAGUUUCGGCGGUUGGGGAUGGACUCGCGGCUUAUCAGCUUGUUGGUGGGGUAGUGGCUUACCAAGGCUUUGACGGGUAGCCGGCCUGAGAGGGUGACCGGCCACAUUGGGACUGAGAUACGGCCCAGACUCCUACGGGAGGCAGCAGUGGGGAAUAUUGCACAAUGGGCGGAAGCCUGAUGCAGCAACGCCGCGUGCGGGAUGACGGCCUUCGGGUUGUAAACCGCUUUCGCCUGUGACGAAGCGUGAGUGACGGUAAUGGGUAAAGAAGCACCGGCUAACUACGUGCCAGCAGCCGCGGUGAUACGUAGGGUGCGAGCGUUGUCCGGAUUUAUUGGGCGUAAAGGGCUCGUAGGUGGUUGAUCGCGUCGGAAGUGUAAUCUUGGGGCUUAACCCUGAGCGUGCUUUCGAUACGGGUUGACUUGAGGAAGGUAGGGGAGAAUGGAAUUCCUGGUGGAGCGGUGGAAUGCGCAGAUAUCAGGAGGAACACCAGUGGCGAAGGCGGUUCUCUGGGCCUUUCCUGACGCUGAGGAGCGAAAGCGUGGGGAGCGAACAGGCUUAGAUACCCUGGUAGUCCACGCUGUAAACGGUGGGUACUAGGUGUGGGGUCCAUUCCACGGGUUCCGUGCCGUAGCUAACGCUUUAAGUACCCCGCCUGGGGAGUACGGCCGCAAGGCUAAAACUCAAAGGAAUUGACGGGGCCCCGCACAAGCGGCGGAGCAUGCGGAUUAAUUCGAUGCAACGCGUAGAACCUUACCUGGGUUUGACAUGGAUCGGGAGUACUCAGAGAUGGGUGUGCCUCUUUUGGGGUCGGUUCACAGGUGGUGCAUGUCUGUCGUCAGCUCGUGUCGUGAGAUGUUGGGUUAAGUCCCGCAACGAGCGCAACCCUUGUUCACUGUUGCCAGCACGUUAUGGUGGGGACUCAGUGGAGACCGCCGGGGUCAACUCGGAGGAAGGUGGGGAUGACGUCAAGUCCUCAUGCCCCUUAUGUCCAGGGCUUCACGCAUGCUACAAUGGCUGGUACAGAGAGUGGCGAGCCUGUGAGGGUGAGCGAAUCUCGGAAAGCCGGUCUCAGUUCGGAUUGGGGUCUGCAACUCGACCUCAUGAAGUCGGAGUCGCUAGUAAUCGCAGAUCAGCAACGCUGCGGUGAAUACGUUCCCGGG
RNAcentral lists this ribosomal RNA (1343 nucleotides) under uncultured bacterium. Its description in RNAcentral is "16S ribosomal RNA". It matches the Rfam family "Bacterial small subunit ribosomal RNA", at positions 28 to 1378 of the family's 1533-position model. The record is from RNAcentral.